UACGUAGGUGGCGAGCGUUGUCCGGAUUUACUGGGCGUAAAGGGAGCGUAGGCGGACUUUUAAGUGAGAUGUGAAAUACCCGGGCUCAACUUGGGUGCUGCAUUUCAAACUGGAAGUCUAGAGUGCAGGAGAGGAGAAUGGAAUUCCUAGUGUAGCGGUGAAAUGCGUAGAGAUUAGGAAGAACACCAGUGGCGAAGGCGAUUCUCUGGACUGUAACUGACGCUGAGGCUCGAAAGCGUGGGGAGCAAACAGGAUUAGAUACCCGUAGUCC
This 271-nucleotide ribosomal RNA is filed under the name uncultured bacterium. RNAcentral's name for it is "partial 16S ribosomal RNA". It matches the Rfam family "Bacterial small subunit ribosomal RNA", at positions 524 to 796 of the family's 1533-position model. The record is from RNAcentral.